RNA transcript from Mytilus californianus (California mussel), 3967 nucleotides. It is a transcript of the gene named ADP-ribosylation factor GTPase-activating protein 2-like, with no coding region annotated. The record is from RefSeq and is a predicted model, not a curated record. The transcript is spliced from 14 exons. Lineage: Eukaryota; Metazoa; Mollusca; Bivalvia; Mytilida; Mytilidae.
GUCAUGUGAUUCAUUGAAAACGUCACCGAAAUGGCAGAUCAGCCGUCUAAGACAGAUAUUCAGGCAAUUUUCAAACGUCUUCGUUCAAUCCCUACAAAUAAACAAUGUUUUGAUUGUGCAAGCAAUAAUCCAACAUGGGCAAGUGUAACCUAUGGUGUUUUCUUGUGCAUUGAUUGUUCAGCUGUACACAGAUCCCUAGGGGUCCACAUUACCUUUAUCAGAUCUACACAGCUGGAUACUAGUUGGACAUGGAUACAGUUAAGAGCCAUGCAAGUGGGAGGAAAUGCAAAUGCUACACAUUUUUUCCGUCAACAUGGUUGUACAUCUUCAGACUCGCAACAGAAAUACCACAGUCGUGCAGCCGAGUUGUACAAAGGAAAGUUACACUCAUUAGCGACACAGGCCAUGAAAUUACAUGGUACAAAGUUACACAUUGAAAGUCAUCAUGAUCCAACAUCUCCAGUGAACAAGGAAGUAGAUUUCUUUGAUGCCCAUACAGAGGAUAAAGAACCCGAUUUGAUACAAGAAAGUCAGAAACUCACACAUACUUCAGAACCAAAGCCUAUUAAAAAUGGAAGUCUCAGUAAAGCUGAGGAAAUAGAUCCAUCAGAAGGUCCUUCUGUUGAUCAUGCUCUGAGUAUGUCUCCUACCCAAGCCAUGGCUCAUGCUGAACCUAGAAAGGCAUUGAUAGGUGCCAAGAAAACAGGAGGAGCAAAAAAAUCGAAAGGAUUUGGUGCUCAAAGAGUAAAAGCAAAUUUCAGCGAAAUUGAGAAUAAAGCCCAGCAACUUGAUAAAGAAAGGGAAGAACUAGCUAAAAAUAUGGCUGUACAAGAGGCAAAAACACAAGAGGAGAAAGAUAAACAAAUGGCAACUAUGAAGUUAGCAUACAAAGAUAUGAGUAUAGAAAGAAAGAAACAAGAAGAUAAAUUAAUGAUUGCUGAUCCAAAGAAAGCAGCACAGUUUGAGAGACUUGGCAUGGGAUUUAGUGGCCAUAAAGGAGUUAGUCACUCAGCUAUGACAGAUAUGCAGACAAUUAACCAAGACUCUCCAGAAAAUGACAGUAAAUCACGUUUAGAAAAAUACAGCAGUAAACCUUCAAGGUCCAGAAAUUUCUUUGAAGAUGAACUAGAUGAUAUGGGAUUUUCAGGAAAUAAAAAUGAGAGUGCAUUUGAUAUAGACAGAGACAAUUCCUGGGGAAGUAAAGAGAGUAGUUGGGGCAGCAGCAAUAAAUCUGGUAGCUGGGAUAUAGAUAGAUUUGAAUCUAAACAAAGCUUUACUGAAAGUUUUCCAUCAAAGAAUGAAGAUGACCGACCAAGUAGAAGUAGAAAGGCUUAUGAUUAUAAUACAACAUCAUCUUCAGAAGAUGCACAGAAAAAAUUUGGGAAUGCCAAAGCCAUUUCAUCAGACCAGUAUUUUGGAGGUCGAGAUUCUGAUUUUGAAACCAAACAAAAUUUACAGAAAUUUCAAGGAAGUAACAGUAUAUCUAGUGAUGAUUAUUUUGGUGACAAUUCCUCUAAAAAUAGAUCUUAUAAUAGUGGUCCCGAUUUACAAGAGAUUAAAGAUGGUGUACGACAAGGUGUUACUAAAGUAGCAGGAAAAAUAUCGUCUAUAGCCAGUGGUGUUAUGACAUCUUUACAGAGAAAAUCUUGAGCUUUGCGUUUGCACUAACUACAUAGAAUUAAAGAUAUUAUAAAGAAGAAGAUUAUAGGACAAAUAUGGAAAUUGAUGGGAAUUUAUAUUAAUUUUGGUCAUCUUAUUAUUCAAAGAGCAGUAGAAUGGAAAACCUGCUUAACAGACAAUGAAAACACUUUCAUUUCUUGCUGACAAAACAAUUAAAGAAGAUUCUGGAAACAGCACUGUAGGAACAAUAGUUCAUUGAAUUCAUGAGAAUAAAAUAAGAUGCAAUAUAUUUAGUCAAAGAGAGGAGACUAAAUUGAGACUUUGAAUAAAUCAUAUGAAUACUUCUACAUCCAGAUGAAAGAUUUUCCCACAAAGAUAUUAAUUAAGUAAAAUUUUUAUAAACAGAGUCAUUCCGGCUAUGUUAUAAGGUUUUGCAGUGUACCAGCAUUGCAAAGUACAGUGAUUAGUUGUACAUAAUAUUUAAUGUUAAUUGUAUAACUAUUUUGUUUAAUUGGUACUAAUUUAUAUCAUUAGUAUAAAUGGUUUUCAUUCAGGUUAAAAAAAAAAAUGUCAAUCCUCUCAGCUAUCUUCCUUGUCAGUUAAAAAUCCCCCCCCUAUCUUUAGUUUGCAAAAAGCUAGAUUUAUUUCAGAUGAAUUGUAAAGAUGGGAGAGGGAGUUACUCGCAUCUCACACCAUUUACUCAUGCCAAUUUUACAGUAGGAAAUCUGAGAUAUUUCUUUCUAAAAAUCAUAAAAUUCCUACCCUUCUUACAGUCCUUACAGUGUUUUCCCCAGUGCUUAAUACAUACAGUUUUCUCUGGAAUAAUCCAAGUCACAUAACCCAGAAAUUGUAUCCCUUCUUAGCUUCCAAUCCAUGUGUAAAACACCCUCUCUUGAAUCUCAUUAAUGAGAUUUUACUUAUGGGAUGUCCAAAAUGAGUAUAUCUAACUUGAAAAAUUACAUAAAAUACAUGCCUUUAGUCAUUUUCUGCAAAAGUAAAUAAAAAAUGGCAUUCAAUAUAUAGACUGAUCAUCUGAUAGUUAUAAAACUCUCAACUAUAGUGUUCUUUUCCUAAUAAUUGUUAAUUGCAAUUGUCUCAAAAUUAGUGCACUAACUUUCUAAAUUAUUUAACCUGUAGGUUGUAUUAAAUAGUCAGUAAUUUUACAUUAACAUGUUAGAAAGUUGAUUGUGAACAAUUAGAUCUUUAUAGAAUUAAUUUCUGAAAACAAAAAAUUAUUAUUACUUUUUCUUAUAUUGUUAGUAAAAAUGUACCAGCAUGGAGUACUAUAUUGUAUAUAGUGCUUCCAUGAUACAAGUUAAUCUGCCUUUGCAUUCAGGAGCAGACAAUCACCUAACUCAUUUAAGCUACAGUUUUAUUUUACGAAACAUGAAAUCUUUCUGUUAUUAAAGAACAUAUUGGUAAAAUGUUUGGUGGCAGGUCCUACCUUAUUAUAUAUUCUGGUUCUGUCCUAAUUGUGGUAAUCUCUAUUUGUAUCUAAAUCAUCAUGUCAUUGGUGAAAAAGGGGUCAAAUUGUUCUUUCUGGAUGUGUAUUUCUCAUAUUUUCCUUUUCCGUUAUACUUCAUAACCCCUCUGACUUAUCUGAAGCAAUUAAGUAUUAAAAAUAUUUGCCUUGCAACUUAUUUAUUUAUAUUUUUUGAUGAAUGAAUAGAGAUGUAAGGAAUACAUCAUGAGACAGAAACCCAAUGACACAAAAGAAUAAAAGAAAUCUACAUUUCCAACGCAUUAUUGCCAGAAUAUUUCCAAAUUCUUGUUAGCUAGUUACACUUUUCAUACACUUUUACAUUCAAAAUGUCCUGAACAUAUCAUUUGAAAAAUCCAGAUACCUCUUUUUCUGUCAAAAUUGUAGUUUUUCAAAUAUUUAAACCAGUACAUCUCAAAAACAAUCACAAAGUUCCAUCUUUUUCUUUAAAAUUAUUUUGAUCUUUUUUACACUCUAUUAAAAUUUUAUUUUUAUAUGUGUUGUUAUUUUGAAUUUGAAGCAGAGAACAUUAUCAAUACUUAACGUCUUGAAGUUUGAAUUCACCAAAUAAUGUAUUGUAAAUGUACCUGUAGGUAAUAACACAGGUAAAUGUUUAAAAAUAAUGAAUAGCAGGACAUUUGGGGAAUGACAAAGAAGCAGCAACCACACUCAAGUUCCUGAAUAAUAAAAAUCUUUAGUAUUACAUCUGUUUCUGAUUUAUGAAUAAGAAAUAUUGCUACAUUUAUUUUUGAGUAAGAAUGUUUUGUUAAUGCAUUUUAAAAUGUUGGAAAAAAUCAUUUAUUCUUUCAGUGGUUCAUGUACUACAUUUAAAAUGUCUAAAUUAUAAAAUAAACUUUAAGUACAAAA